Molecule: ribosomal RNA, 1043 nt
Filed under: uncultured Lactobacillus sp.
Lineage: Bacteria; Bacillati; Bacillota; Bacilli; Lactobacillales; Lactobacillaceae
Description: bacterial SSU rRNA
Rfam family: Bacterial small subunit ribosomal RNA
Source: RNAcentral
GUUCACACAGUGACGGUAGCUAACCAGAAAGUCACGGCUAACUACGUGCCAGCAGCCGCGGUAAUACGUAGGUGGCAAGCGUUAUCCGGAUUUAUUGGGCGUAAAGCGAGCGCAGGCGGUUUGAUAAGUCUGAUGUGAAAGCCUUUGGCUUAACCAAAGAAGUGCAUCGGAAACUGUCAGACUUGAGUGCAGAAGAGGACAGUGGAACUCCAUGUGUAGCGGUGGAAUGCGUUGAUAUAUGGAAGAACACCAGUGGCGAAGGCGGCUGUCUGGUCUGCAACUGACGCUGGGGCUCGAAAGCAUGGGUAGCGAACAGGAUUAGAUACCCUGGUAGUCCAUGCCGUAAACGAUGAGUGCUAGGUGUUGGAGGGUUUCCGCCCUUCAGUGCCGCAGCUAACGCAUUAAGCACUCCGCCUGGGGAGUACGACCGCAAGGUUGAAACUCAAAGGAAUUGACGGGGGCCCGCACAAGCGGUGGAGCAUGUGGUUUAAUUCGAAGCUACGCGAAGAACCUUACCAGGUCUUGACAUCUUGCGCCAACCCUAGAGAUAGGGCGUUUCCUUCGGGAACGCAAUGACAGGUGGUGCAUGGUCGUCGUCAGCUCGUGUCGUGAGAUGUUGGGUUAAGUCCCGCAACGAGCGCAACCCUUGUUACUAGUUGCCAGCAUUCAGUUGGGCACUCUAGUGAGACUGCCGGUGACAAACCGGAGGAAGGUGGGGACGACGUCAGAUCAUCAUGCCCCUUAUGACCUGGGCUACACACGUGCUACAAUGGACGGUGCAACGAGUCGCGAACUCGCGAGGGCAAGCUAAUCUCUUAAAACCGUUCUCAGUUCGGACUGCAGGCUGCAACUCGCCUGCACGAAGUCGGAAUCGCUAGUAAUCGCGGAUCAGCAUGCCGCGGUGAAUACGUUCCCGGGCCUUGUACACACCGCCCGUCACACCAUGAGAGUUUGCAACACCCAAAGUCGGUGGGGUAACCCUUCGGGGAGCUAGCCGCCUAAGGUGGGGCAGAUGAUUAGGGUGAAGUCGUAACAAGGUAACC